AACGAACGCUGGCGGCAGGCCUAACACAUGCAAGUCGAGCGAGACCUUCGGGUCUAGCGGCGGACGGGUUAGUAACGCGUGGGAACGUGCCCUUCUCUGCGGAAUAGCCACUGGAAACGGUGAGUAAUACCGCAUACGCCCUUCGGGGGAAAGAUUUAUCGGAGAAGGAUCGGCCCGCGUUAGAUUAGAUAGUUGGUGGGGUAAUGGCCUACCAAGUCUACGAUCUAUAGCUGGUUUUAGAGGAUGAUCAGCAACACUGGGACUGAGACACGGCCCAGACUCCUACGGGAGGCAGCAGUGGGGAAUCUUAGACAAUGGGCGCAAGCCUGAUCUAGCCAUGCCGCGUGUGUGAUGAAGGUCUUAGGAUCGUAAAGCACUUUCGCCAGGGAUGAUAAUGACAGUACCUGGUAAAGAAACCCCGGCUAACUCCGUGCCAGCAGCCGCGGUAAUACGGAGGGGGUUAGCGUUGUUCGGAAUUACUGGGCGUAAAGCGUACGUAGGCGGAUCAGAAAGUUGGGGGUGAAAUCCCGGGGCUCAACCCCGGAACUGCCUCCAAAACUCCUGGUCUUGAGUUCGAGAGAGGUGAGUGGAAUUCCAAGUGUAGAGGUGAAAUUCGUAGAUAUUUGGAGGAACACCAGUGGCGAAGGCGGCUCACUGGCUCGAUACUGACGCUGAGGUACGAAAGUGUGGGGAGCAAACAGGAUUAGAUACCCUGGUAGUCCACACCGUAAACGAUGAAUGCCAGUCGUCGGGCAGUAUACUGUUCGGUGACACACCUAACGGAUUAAGCAU
RNAcentral lists this ribosomal RNA (792 nucleotides) under Sulfitobacter dubius. RNAcentral describes it as "bacterial SSU rRNA". It matches the Rfam family "Bacterial small subunit ribosomal RNA", at positions 28 to 867 of the family's 1533-position model. The record is from RNAcentral. Lineage: Bacteria; Pseudomonadati; Pseudomonadota; Alphaproteobacteria; Rhodobacterales; Roseobacteraceae.